This 1296-nucleotide long non-coding RNA is filed under the name Heterocephalus glaber (naked mole-rat). RNAcentral's name for it is "lncRNA (ENSHGLG00100051747.1)". The record is from RNAcentral. Lineage: Eukaryota; Metazoa; Chordata; Mammalia; Rodentia; Bathyergidae.
CUUCUGCAUGGCUUUUACCUUCAGGAAAAUUCUCUGGGAAGGGAGGGAAGGGGACAUGGGAAAAUCGCACAUAAACUGUCUACGUACAGCUAAUGAACAGUCUCCGUGACAUUCCAUGUUUUCUUUAAUACUACUGGGGUUGCAAUGGUUAGGAUUUGUCCUGUAAUUCAACCAAAAUAGAACAGACAGAAUUAUGAAUUAUGUCCAUAAAAAGUAGAUGCUUUCUGAAACGUACAUGAAGAAACUCCUUCAUGUUAGAUGACCAAUAUAGAUAUAUUCCUGUACAGAGCUACUGUCUUCAUCUACUAAGAACAAAACCAAGUCUUGCAUAAAUGACAAGAAAAUAAUAAUUUUUCAGUUAAGAAAAAAGCAAAAGUGGUGUUUUAGCCAAGAAAAUAAUAUUCUAAAUAAAUAUUCGACUUAGAUCACUGGAAAGGCAGCCUAUUAGCAUGUUGAAAAUGACAUAGAUAAUACACAGAAUACACUUGGACUUUUACUUAACAGAGAGCAAUGAGUUCUAAUUUUUCCUAUUGAUUUUUAUGGCUGUCUAUACAAUUAUCCUUUUCCCUAACUGUGCUAGAAAUCCCUUCAUUCGAGAGACCUGAGUUUAUCUAAUGGCACCUAUAAGUAGGCUCAUAUAAAAAUGUAGUAAAUUGCAACAAAUAACAUUGGCACCACAGGAAGUAAGCUCUGAAGAUGGAAGUGAACUCAAUAAUAUUGCUGUCGCCAAGGAGGGGAAAACAUCACUAGCAGAAAAUACCUUUAUAUGUUCCUAGGCAACCUUGGAGAUGUCCCAGGUGUGUAUCAAAGUUAUGCAUUUGGUGGAUCUCCAUCCUUUCAUUUCAGCUGACAUCUAGUCUAAAUAUAAUGGCUAUUUAAAAAAAUUAUCCAUUUGCCUGGAUUGAUGAACACAAAUCUGGAACCGAGACAUUCUAAUUGCUUUGGCCAUUAAUACUCCUAUUAUUUCAUGUACCUUAAAACAAAGCAAAUAAACAUAACCAGGCUGUGGCUAAGACUUCCUGGCUGGCUUAGGCUUUGCAGAUUUAAUAAAACUGCUUAUAUACAGCUAUGGAUGGGUUCACAAUGGUAGUGUCAUUCCACUCACCUAGCUUUUCCCUAUAUUUAUAUUAACUAUACAGACAUAUAGCCAUUUGGAAAAGGGAAAAAGAUUAAAGUAAAUACAAUGCUAUGUCAGUAUAAAUGCCUUUCCCUUUUGUCUUUUAUUUGCAAGGGAUGGACAACAGUUCAUUUCACUUAAGAAAUAUAUUUGACUCACAGUAUACUGCAAAUGUAGAG